AGCGAACGCUGGCGGCAGGCUUAACACAUGCAAGUCGAGCGGGCGUAGCAAUACGUCAGCGGCAGACGGGUGUGUAACGCGUGGGAACAUACCUUUUGGUUCGGAACAACACAGGGAAACUUGUGCUAAUACCGGAUAAGCCCUUACGGGGAAAGAUUUAUCGCCGAAAGAUUGGCCCGCGUCUGAUUAGCUAGUUGGUGAGGUAACGGCUCACCAAGGCGACGAUCAGUAGCNGGUCUGAGAGGAUGAUCAGCCACAUUGGGACUGAGACACGGCCCAAACUCCUACGGGAGGCAGCAGUGGGGAAUAUUGGACAAUGGGCGAAAGCCUGAUCCAGCCAUGCCGCGUGAGUGAUGAAGGCCCUAGGGUUGUAAAGCUCUUUUGUGCGGGAAGAUAAUGACGGUACCGCAAGAAUAAGCCCCGGCUAACUUCGUGCCAGCCGCCGCAGU
This 449-nucleotide ribosomal RNA is filed under the name uncultured bacterium. Its description in RNAcentral is "bacterial SSU rRNA". It matches the Rfam family "Bacterial small subunit ribosomal RNA", at positions 29 to 521 of the family's 1533-position model. The record is from RNAcentral.